This 375-nucleotide ribosomal RNA is filed under the name uncultured bacterium. RNAcentral describes it as "bacterial SSU rRNA". It matches the Rfam family "Bacterial small subunit ribosomal RNA", at positions 28 to 403 of the family's 1533-position model. The record is from RNAcentral.
GAUGAACGCUAGCGGCAGGCCUAAUACAUGCAAGUCGAACGGUAAAUGUCCCUUCGGGGGCAUGAGAGUGGCGCACGGGUGCGUAACGCGUAUGCAACCUACCCAAUGCUGUCGGAUAGCCCGGAGAAAUCCGGAUUAACCCGUCAUGAGGAGCUUAGGGGGCAUCCCCUUGGUUUCAAAUAUUCAUAGGCGUUGGAUGGGCAUGCGUGCUAUUAGAUAGUUGGCGGGGUAACGGCCCACCAAGUCGACGAUAGCUAGGGGAUCUGAGAGGACGGUCCCCCACACUGGUACUGAGACACGGACCAGACUCCUACGGGAGGCAGCAGUAAGGAAUAUUGGGCAAUGGAGGCAACUCUGACCCAGCCAUGCCGCGUG